UGCUCCAUUGUCAUUCAAAGUAUAAUAUUUUAUUUAAAUAUCUACUAUUAAACUUUAGUUAAGCUAAUCGCAUUUAUUAAAUCGAUGAGACUAAAAAAAGCAAUCAACAAAGUUUCUUAAAUUCUCAUUAAAAUGAUAAAACUAAAAUUCAAUAUUCAUACGUCACAACAAUAAUAUCCACUUACAUGUUAUAAUAAUUAUAACAAUCAAACUCUCCAACUGAAGAAAAAAA
Molecule: long non-coding RNA, 232 nt
Filed under: Ananas comosus (pineapple)
Lineage: Eukaryota; Viridiplantae; Streptophyta; Magnoliopsida; Poales; Bromeliaceae
Description: long non-coding RNA (ACOM_LNC027047)
Source: RNAcentral